UCACAAACAUAUAAACAUAUGUUCUUUAGGAGGAUUAUUCAAUCGAAUUGAGUUGAGGGAGUUAUAUUCUGAAUCUGAAACAUCAGAAGAACAAGGUUGUUGAGACUUGAGAGAGAGAGCAAUGAGUACAGUUCAGCACACGGCCCAUAUCCACCAUGGGCCACAUCCUCCACCACCAGUGUUUGCACUACCCCAACCGUCGCCGCAGCCACCACCCCAUCGUCCUCCUGGUCGGGCUCCAUACCAACCUCACGGUGGUGGCAGUCCCACCAACUAUCAAAAUUACUUUAAUCCGUACCCCCCUCGACUACCUCAACACGUCCUCCUCCUACAGGACGACUCUCGCUCUCCAUUUCAGAAUAAAGCCUGUUUCUAUGGUGUGCUUGCUCUCUGUUGCUGCUUUGUGUUGUUUCUGAUUUAUGAGUUGCUGAGCUGAUCACGUAUAAACAAGAAUUGUUUAUUGAUAAAGAUUUGGAUGCAAUGUACUAUUAAUAACAACGUCUUUGUUUUUGGUGUUUAUCCAAUUUUAUAUCGGGACCUCAACUUUAAGAUUGAGUUUGGAUUUAGAAUUUAGAAAUUUAAGAAGGUUAAAAAAAAAAAAAAAAAAA
Long non-coding RNA from Camellia sinensis, 608 nucleotides. RefSeq lists it as uncharacterized. NCBI's taxonomy places the organism in Eukaryota, Viridiplantae, Streptophyta, Magnoliopsida, Ericales, Theaceae. The record is from RefSeq and is a predicted model, not a curated record.